This 542-nucleotide ribosomal RNA is filed under the name Tremella fibulifera. RNAcentral describes it as "LSU rRNA". It matches the Rfam family "Eukaryotic large subunit ribosomal RNA", at positions 92 to 621 of the family's 3401-position model. The record is from RNAcentral. Lineage: Eukaryota; Fungi; Basidiomycota; Tremellomycetes; Tremellales; Tremellaceae.
AGCGAACCGGGAAGAGCUCAAAUUUGAAAUCUGGCGUCCCCAGGGCGUCCGAGUUGUAAUCUACAGAAGCGUUUUCCGCGCCGGACCGCGUCCAAGUCCCUUGGAACAGGGUAUCGAAGAGGGUGACAAUCCCGUACUUGACACGGCCCCCGGUGCUAUGUGAUACGUCUUCGACGAGUCGAGUUGUUUGGGAAUGCAGCUCAAAACGGGUGGUAAAUUCCAUCUAAGGCUAAAUAUUGGCGAGAGACCGAUAGCGAACAAGUACCGUGAGGGAAAGAUGAAAAGCACUUUGGAAAGAGAGUUAAACAGUACGUGAAAUUGUUGAAAGGGAAACGAUUGAAGUCAGUCGUGUCCGAGGGGUUCAGCCGGUCCUGCCGGUGCAUUCCUCUCGGACGGGUCAACAUCGGUUUUGACCGGCGGAGAAGGGCGUUAGGAAGGUGGCACCCUCGGGUGUGUUAUAGCCUCUCGUCGCACACGUCGGUCGAGACCGAGGAACGCAGCUUGCCCUCACGGGCCGGGGUUCUCCCACGUACGAGCUUAGG